This 457-nucleotide ribosomal RNA is filed under the name uncultured bacterium. RNAcentral describes it as "bacterial SSU rRNA". It matches the Rfam family "Bacterial small subunit ribosomal RNA", at positions 28 to 514 of the family's 1533-position model. The record is from RNAcentral.
GACGAACGCUGGCGGCAUGCCUAACACAUGCAAGUCUAGGGGUAGCAAUACCACUGGCGCACGGGUGAGUAACACGUAGGUUAUCUGCCCCCAUCACAGACAUAACCCCGGGAAACCGGGGCUAAUAUCUGAUGAGGUCGCGAGAUCAAAGCUUCGGCGGAUGGGGAUGAGCCUGCGGCUGAUUAGCUAGUUGGUGAGGUAAUGGCUCACCAAGGCGACGAUCAGUAGCUGGUCUGAGAGGACGAACAGCCACACUGGAACUGAGACACGGUCCAGACUCCUACGGGAGCAGCAGUGAGGAAUAUUGGUCAAUGGGAGCAAUCCUGAACCAGCAAUGCCGCGUGUGGGAUGACAGGGCUUCGCCUUGUAAACCACUGUCGGACGGGACGAAAGGAGGCCUCGGGGCCUCUGGGACGGUACCGUCAAAGGAAGGGUCGGCUAACGUACGUGCCAGCAG